ACUGUGUAGUGUUAGUGUCUUUAUUAUCCUGUCUUCUUUUUAUAGGAUCAAUGGACUCCUCUCAUGCUAGCAGCUUAUAAUGAAAGAACACAGGUAGUGACAAUGCUCCUUGAAAAAGGAGCAGAUGUCACUGCCUCUGAUGAUACUGGUAGGACUACUCUUGAUUAUGUUUCUGGUGACACUGCCACCCUACUGAGAGUACACUCAGGUAAUGUAUUUAUUAGUUUAUUGAACUGAUGUUAUUAUACUGUAUGUAGUACUGUAUUGUUCAUGCUUUUAAGUUUGUCCGUUAUAUAGAG
Long non-coding RNA from Amphimedon queenslandica, 299 nucleotides. RefSeq lists it as uncharacterized. The record is from RefSeq and is a predicted model, not a curated record. The transcript is spliced from 2 exons. Lineage: Eukaryota; Metazoa; Porifera; Demospongiae; Haplosclerida; Niphatidae.